ACUCCUGGGGAGGCAGCAGUGGGGAAUUUUGGACAAUGGGCGAAAGCCUGAUCCAGCAAUGCCGCGUGAGUGAAGAAGGCCUUCGGGUUGUAAAGCUCUUUUGUCAGGGAAGAAACGGUGAAAGCUAAUAUCUUUUGCUAAUGACGGUACCUGAAGAAUAAGCACCGGCUAACUACGUGCCAGCAGCCGCGGUAAUACGUAGGGUGCAAGCGUUAAUCGGAAUUACUGGGCGUAAAGCGUGCGCAGGCGGUUUUGUAAGUCUGAUGUGAAAUCCCCGGGCUCAACCUGGGAAUUGCAUUGGAGACUGCAAGGCUAGAAUCUGGCAGAGGGGGGUAGAAUUCCACGUGUAGCAGUGAAAUGCGUAGAUAUGUGGAGGAACACCGAUGGCGAAGGCAGCCCCCUGGGUCAAGAUUGACGCUCAUGCACGAAAGCGUGGGGAGCAAACAGGAUUAGAUACCCCUGUAGUCCCAUGAU
Molecule: ribosomal RNA, 474 nt
Filed under: uncultured organism
Description: partial 16S ribosomal RNA
Rfam family: Bacterial small subunit ribosomal RNA
Source: RNAcentral